AUUUAUUUUUUGCCCCGGCAUCACUGCUACUAGUAUUGUGAUUUAUUUUUGUUUUAAUCGAAAAUAAUAUCGAGUUUGCUUCAAUUUAGAAUUCUGUCCUGUUUUCGAUAAUUAAAAAUAGCCAAAACUUAUAUUAUCAAUUUUAAUUUGACCAAUUCCUGACAGCCUUAAUCGGUUGGCAUGGUUUUGAUUUUGUCAAACUAGGCCCAAUUAAGUCAG
Molecule: unclassified non-coding RNA, 219 nt
Filed under: Hevea brasiliensis (rubber tree)
Lineage: Eukaryota; Viridiplantae; Streptophyta; Magnoliopsida; Malpighiales; Euphorbiaceae
Source: RNAcentral